UUAUGUUUUGUUUGUUUCUUUGUUUUGGGACAAGAGUCUUAUUCUGUAGUUCAGGCUGGCCCUGAACUCACUAUGUACCCCAAGCUGGCCUCAAACUCAUGGCAAUCCUCCUGCCUCAGCCUC
RNAcentral lists this microRNA precursor (123 nucleotides) under Chinchilla lanigera (long-tailed chinchilla). RNAcentral's name for it is "miRNA (ENSCLAG00000021368.1)". The record is from RNAcentral. Lineage: Eukaryota; Metazoa; Chordata; Mammalia; Rodentia; Chinchillidae.